Molecule: ribosomal RNA, 428 nt
Filed under: Ornithodoros sp. ML-2011
Lineage: Eukaryota; Metazoa; Arthropoda; Arachnida; Ixodida; Argasidae
Description: partial 16S ribosomal RNA
Source: RNAcentral
GGUAUUAUGACUAUACGAAGGUAUUGAAAUAAGGCUUUAAUUGAGUGCUAAGAGAAUGGCUUAACAUAGGUUGACUUUUUUUCUUUUUAUAAUAGAAGUUGAUUUAAAAAUGAAAAAGUUUUUAUAAAAUUUUGGGACAAGAAGACCCUAUGAAUUUAUUUUUUGAGAGAUUAGUAUUUUAUGAUUAAGUAAAUAUUUCGAUUUUUUAAAAGUUGAUUGGGGCGAUUUUUAAAGAUUGCAAUCUUUAAAAAAGAGGAGGAAGUAGAUCCUGUAUUAUGGAUUAUUUGAUGAAAAAUACUCUAGGGUUAACAGCGUUAUUACUUUGGAUAGUUCUUAUUGAUAAAGUAGUUUGCGACCUCGAUGUUGGAUUAAGAUACUUUCAUAGUGGAGAAGCUAUGUAAAGAAGUUUGCUCAACUUUUGAUAUCUU